Long non-coding RNA from Cylas formicarius (sweet potato weevil), 738 nucleotides. RefSeq lists it as uncharacterized. The record is from RefSeq and is a predicted model, not a curated record. NCBI's taxonomy places the organism in Eukaryota, Metazoa, Arthropoda, Insecta, Coleoptera, Brentidae. The transcript is spliced from 4 exons.
UUUGAGGUUAGUUUUGGCUAGUUAAACAAAAUGGUUAAUGUAGAUAUAAUUCGUGUUCUCUUUUAGCGAUGUUUUUCGUUAUAUUUUAAAAACAAACACGGAUUUUUGCGCUGAGCUGUUGCUCCCACUUACAAAUGGCGCAUCAGGCUGUAAGCAUAAUUAAUGUGAAAAAGGCAAGUUUUAUCGAUUUCUGAAGAAUCCAAAGACAAGAAGCAAAUGGAUAAAACUAACAGGAAGGGUACAACCAGGUCAUGGAGCUUCUUUGUGCAGCUGUGUCAUAAACAAUCAAGGAAAAAUCUUUGAGUACAAAUCUCCAGAGAAAAAGAAGUUUCUCUUUGUAAUAAAAGCACUCUAGGUUCCCAAUCUAGAGAGAAGUUUAAAAUUGAGCCACAAUUAUCUACAUCUCCAGAAUCAAGUGACAUUUCAAAAAGAGGUCAUGCAGUGGUUGAAGCGAAAAAUAUAAUUACCUUUUACAGUGCUGUAUGUAAUAAAUUAUAAUACCAAUGUAGUACUCAUCAUACCUUUUAAAAUCAAAAAUAAGAGUUGCAGAGUUACUUUAAAUUACCACAAUUAUUAUUUUCAUAUAAAAUGCACAUGAAUACUUUUUAAGACUUUUAUCAAUUUAAAAACUCUUACACAUAUCCAUAACGCAAUGUGAAGUUAGCUAGAUUUGUCUAGGUACAAUCAACAGGUUACCACAAAUUAUAGCCUCACAAUAAUGACGCCUAUAAUAGAAAA